AUUGAACGCUGGCGGCAGGCCUAACACAUGCAAGUCGAACGGUAGCACAGAGAGCUUGCUCUCGGGUGACGAGCGGCGGACGGGUGAGUAAUGUCUGGGAAACUGCCCGAUGGAGGGGGAUAACUACUGGAAACGGUAGCUAAUACCGCAUAAAGUCGCAAGACCAAAGAGGGGGAACGUGGGGCCUCUUGCCAUCGGAUGUGCCCAAGGGGGAUUAGCUAGUUGGUGAGGUAAGGGCUCACCAAGGCGACGAUCCCUAGCUGGCCUGAGAGGAUGACCAGCCACACUGGAACUGAGACACGGUCCAGACUCCUACGGGAGGCAGCAGUGGGGAAUAUUGCACAAUGGGCGCAAGCCUGAUGCAGCCAUGCCGCGUGUGUGAAGAAGGCCUUCGGGUUGUAAAGCACUUUCAUCGGGGAGGAAGAUAAGGCGGUUAAUCUCCGUGUUGAUUGACGUUACCCGCAGAAGAAGCACCGGCUAACUCCGUG
RNAcentral lists this ribosomal RNA (488 nucleotides) under uncultured bacterium. RNAcentral describes it as "partial 16S ribosomal RNA". It matches the Rfam family "Bacterial small subunit ribosomal RNA", at positions 29 to 507 of the family's 1533-position model. The record is from RNAcentral.